Molecule: long non-coding RNA, 1259 nt
Organism: Megalobrama amblycephala (Wuchang bream)
Lineage: Eukaryota; Metazoa; Chordata; Actinopteri; Cypriniformes; Xenocyprididae
Exons: 6
Source: RefSeq, a predicted model, not a curated record
UAGCCAGGGCAUUUACCUUAUUCUGAUGACUUGCACUGAAUAGAAUCAGACAGUUUUACAUAAUCUUUGUCGACAAAACACAGCUGCCAGUGUCUAAACUGAUGUCAAUCAACACUGACAGAGCACAUGCGAUGGUUGGCCGUUCAAACGGAUUCAUUAGGGACUUUAAGCAACAGCCACUGAUGGAACGGCAACGGUGUUCUGAUGUUGUAUUGCGCAUGCGCGACUUUAACUGCUACUUCGUGACGUUCUACUGUAACCGUCUACUACGGGAGAACAGCUGAUUUGUCGUAGUCGUUACAACGUGAGAGAGUAGGUAAGUAAAUGUUAUGUUUUAUGGUAUAUGACAUUGUAAUUGCAUCAGUAUAUGAUUGUACAACUUGUCUUUUAUUUCAAUCUGUGUUGAUAUGUUUUAAACUUAAGCUAAUUUUAACUUUUUUUUCCGUUUGUACAAAGUUAUGUCUGCUGUUGGCAACAACACCUCAGGCAGCAUUGAGAUUAGAGAUGAUGUGAAGCGAACAAUUAAUCAAGAGAAGUGUUAUCAUAGCUGAAGAAAUGGCAGAUUUUAAUCCCCAGACACCGAGCAGUUCAAGCCCUGAAGAAAUAACACUAUAGACAUCAUCUUCUGACUGAACUAGCAAGGAGCUGCUGGAGCCAAUGAGAAAGCUGGCAAGUUCAAGUAAAGUUUGGCACAUUCAGUUAGACCAUGUUACCUUUAUUAAUAGAUACUUGUAUACUAUUUGCUCUUUACAGGUGGAAUGUAAACCUGAGUAAACGCCGCUACUUUAAUGAUUAUUUCUAAGUUUACUGAGCGAUGUAAACUGCUGUCAUCCACGUCACAUCGUUGCUCUAAUCAACGUUACCUGAAGAAUCCUUUCAGCGUAGCAGAUAUUCACAAGCGUCUGGAACGAACUUAUGUUGAACUGGAUGCUUACUGAAGAGUGAGCUUCAACACUUAAGGUUUGUACAAAGUUACACGAUAUCACUGAAAACAGCACACGUCAACAAGAUUUCAGAGACUCUGUGUGACAUUUUAAAUGUUUAUGAUCUUCAGGGUGUGCAUGAUGUCAACAUGAAACGCACCAUAGCCCUCCGUGCUCCUCGGUGUACCUGUGAGGAGGACCCACAAUUCUUCAAGACUUGAAAUGAGGCGUUGGGAGAGCCAGACAUCACUGAUUCUGUCAUUGUGGUCAAAGAAAGCACAAGUUGUGAUAGAAGAUGAUCUUCAGUUUUAUAAUAAAAAAAAAUAUUCAAUUGUA